UGGGGAAUAUUGCACAAUGGGCGCAAGCCUGAUGCAGCCAUGCCGCGUGUAUGAAGAAGGCCUUCGGGUUGUAAAGUACUUUCAGCGGGGAGGAAGGUGUUGAGGUUAAUAACCUCAGCAAUUGACGUUACCCGCAGAAGAAGCACCGGCUAACUCCGUGCCAGCAGCCGCGGUAAUACGGAGGGUGCAAGCGUUAAUCGGAAUUACUGGGCGUAAAGCGCACGCAGGCGGUCUGUCAAGUUGGUUGUGAAAUCCCCGGGCUCAACCUGGGAACUGCAUUCGAAACUGGCAGGCUAGAGGCUUGUAUAGGGGGGUAGAAUUCCAGGUGUAGCGGUGAAAUGCGUAGAGCUCUGGAGGAAUACCGGUGGCGAAGGCGGCGCCCUGGACAAAGACUGACGCUCAGGUGCGAAAGCGUGGGGAGCAAACA
RNAcentral lists this ribosomal RNA (427 nucleotides) under uncultured bacterium. RNAcentral's name for it is "partial 16S ribosomal RNA". It matches the Rfam family "Bacterial small subunit ribosomal RNA", at positions 355 to 774 of the family's 1533-position model. The record is from RNAcentral.